AACGAACGCUGGCGGCAUGCCUAACACAUGCAAGUCGAACGAGACCUUCGGGUCUAGUGGCGCACGGGUGCGUAACGCGUGGGAACCUGCCCUUAGGUUCGGAAUAACUCCCCGAAAGGGGUGCUAAUACCGGAUAAUGUCUUCGGACCAAAGAUUUAUCGCCUUUGGAUGGGCCCGCGUUGGAUUAGCUAGUUGGUAGGGUAAAAGCCUGCCAAGGCGACGAUCCAUAGCUGGUCUGAGAGGAUGAUCAGCCACACUGGGACUGAGACACGGCCCAGAAUCCUACGGGAGGCAGGAGUGGGGAAUAUUGGAAAAUGGGGGAAAGGCUGAUCCAGCAAUGCCGCGUGAGUGAUGAAGGCCUUAGGGUUGUAAAGCUCUUUUACCCGGGAUGAUAAUGACAGUACCGGGAGAAUAAGCACCGGCUAACUCCGUG
This 433-nucleotide ribosomal RNA is filed under the name uncultured bacterium. RNAcentral's name for it is "partial 16S ribosomal RNA". It matches the Rfam family "Bacterial small subunit ribosomal RNA", at positions 29 to 507 of the family's 1533-position model. The record is from RNAcentral.